GGCGAACGGGUGAGUAACACGUGGGCAAUCUGCCCUUCACUCUGGGACAAGCCCUGGAAACGGGGUCUAAUACCGGAUACGACUGCGGGAGGCAUCUCCUGUGGUGGAAAGCUCCGGCGGUGAAGGAUGAGCCCGCGGCCUAUCAGCUUGUUGGUGGGGUAAUGGCCCACCAAGGCGACGACGGGUAGCCGGCCUGAGAGGGCGACCGGCCACACUGGGACUGAGACACGGCCCAGACUCCUACGGGAGGCAGCAGUGGGGAAUAUUGCACAAUGGGCGAAAGCCUGAUGCAGCGACGCCGCGUGAGGGAUGACGGCCUUCGGGUUGUAAACCUCUUUCAGCAGGGAAGAAGCGAAAGUGACGGUACCUGCAAAAAAGCGCCGGCUAACUACGUGCCAGCAGCCGCGGUAAUACGUAGGGCGCAAGCGUUGUCCGGAAUUUUGGGCGUAAAAACUCGUAGGCGGCUUGUCACGUCGAUGUGAAACCCGAGCUUAACCUCG
This 500-nucleotide ribosomal RNA is filed under the name Streptomyces sp. LC-4. Its description in RNAcentral is "bacterial SSU rRNA". It matches the Rfam family "Bacterial small subunit ribosomal RNA", at positions 97 to 617 of the family's 1533-position model. Lineage: Bacteria; Bacillati; Actinomycetota; Actinomycetes; Kitasatosporales; Streptomycetaceae. The record is from RNAcentral.